This 330-nucleotide ribosomal RNA is filed under the name uncultured bacterium. RNAcentral describes it as "bacterial SSU rRNA". It matches the Rfam family "Bacterial small subunit ribosomal RNA", at positions 568 to 898 of the family's 1533-position model. The record is from RNAcentral.
UGUGUAGGCGGUUCUCUAAGUCUGGUGUGAAAUCUCCCGGCUCAACUGGGAGGGUGCGCCGAAAACUGGAGGGCUAGAGUGCGGGAUGGGAAAGUGGAAUUCCUGGUGUAGCGGUGAAAUGCGUAGAUAUCAGGAGGAACACCUGUGGUGUAGACGGCUUUCUGGACCGCAACUGACGCUGAGACACGAAAGCGUGGGUAGCAAACAGGAUUAGAUACCCUGGUAGUCCGCGCCCUAAACGAUGCAUAUUUGGUGUGGGUCAUUCAUUUGAUCCGUGCCGGAGCUAACGCGUUAAAUAUGCCGCCUGGGGAGUACGGUCGCAAGGCUGAA